UUUGAGGCUUAUGGGCCAAUCAAGCGGGUAGGUACUUUAGAGCAUCCCCAAGUGGGGUUCAGGUUAUUGACUUUUGACUUCGGUAAGAGGUUCAGUUACCUCUGUCUAUUUUCUGGUGGUUUCUUUCUCCUAAAUCUUUUCUCUCAAUUUUCAAACUUUAGGAAACUUGUGAUUAUGAAUUUUAUUUUUUUUUUUAACUAUUUCUAAAGCCAAAUUGCAUCUUUUCAGCCCUGGCAGCCUACUGAUUACAUCUGCCUAUAGUUUCUUUUACUAAGUUAAAUGUUCAAUACAAAUGUCUAACAGAGAAAUGCUUAACUACGAAAUUUUGUUGCUGUCCUCUGAUGAAUAUCCAUAGCACUCAUUUAGUUAGACCCUUGGUAAAUCAGUGAAAAAAUGUUUGCUGCUUGACAAUUGAUUUUGUGACUCCACCUCCUUGCCACCUUGAUAUCUGCGAUGCAUCACAAUUGUGAAGUUUUGUGCUUAAACAGUAAGUGUUCCUAAUGAUGCAUAGUGCACAUAAGGUAUAAGUUCAAAAUUCACUGUCAGCUUCCUAUCGAGUACUAUUUUUGGUAGAGGUUUUAUAUGUGAUGGGUAUUGUAGCACAGGUACCAUUUCCUAUCUUCCAGUAUGAUAUACGGAUUUGUUUUGCUUAACCAUUGUUAGUUCUUUCUUGGAUAUAGUUCGAAUUUUAAAACUCUCCUUGGGACUUGGGUAAUAUACUAGAUUCUAGGUACUACUUUAGCAUUAAGCUUCAUCAUAUUGAGCAAUAUCCCUGGUAAGGGGGUGGUUACUCUGUUCCACAAAUGGUAUAUUUGGUUCCUCUGUUUUCUACCAUGUCCAUUCCAAAGAUGGUGCUUCAUCCUGCAUGGCAAAGCUGAAAAUUUUAAGUUGAGCAGAGCAGUGAUGGAUUGUGCCUUUUGGCCUUUAUUUUCAAGCAACAAAAGGGGACAGACAACUUCUGCUCUUUUUUCCUACACUUGGGUAAAACACGUAGGGAGUAUUAGCAUCUCUUUCUCCUUUAUUUGAAUUUUAAUGUGUGCAUUUCCUGCUACUAAAAAUUUUACUUUUGGCUUUAAAGGCUAUCAAAAACGUAUCAGCAGUUGAGAAGAUAUCCUGGUAUUUCUGAUAUUAUUUUAACUAUUUCAUUAUAUAUAAAAAAAUUUCCCUGGUAAGGGGAGGUUAGUAUGUCAACUGGUAAAUUGGCCACACACAUCGGUUUUUCUGCAACUCUAGAAGUGCUGGUGAUGCAUCUCGCGUUGGAAGCUGUAUAUGAUUAAAAGGUGAGCACGGCUAAUGAGGCAUAUGCCUGUCUGCCGUGCCAUUUAGGAUUUACUAUUUCUAACUUCUUCUUUUUUUCUAUAGGAUUGGCACCUGGUUGCUAAGAUCAAACAUCAUCUGUUUCAAUAUGUUUUCUUGAUUCAGAUAUGAAUCUACUUUUAUUACUUUAGUUUAUUUAACCUUUUUCUUUGAGCUUUGCAGGUCCGACUCAUUACCGACAAAGAGACUAGUAAACCUAGAGGUUAUGCUUUCAUUGAAUAUAUGCAUACACGGGAUAUGAAAGGUUUGCUAUAUAGCUUGAGCAUUUAUUGGUUUUCAUCUGAUGUGCUUUAUAUUUUGUUUCUGAACACCACUUGUUUGUGUCAAAUUCAGCUGCUUAUAAACAAGCUGAUGGAAGGAAGCUUGAUAACAGAAGGGUGCUGGUUGACGUUGAACGUGGUAGAACUGUUCCUAAUUGGCGUCCCCGCAGACUGGGUGGUGGACUUGGAACAACUAGGGUUGGAGGUGAAGAAGUGAAUCCAAAGUAUUCUGGAAGGUAAUUGGCCUGAUUGCAAUGUUUGCACAUGCUGUGUUCCAUGGAGAAAGAAUUCGUGACUUUUAUUGCCUUUUAAAUAAAUCUUGUUGCAUGCAUUAUACAGUAGAUUCGUAGGGAGAAUUCAAUGAUGUGAAGGUUUUUUGAUGGGCUUAAGUAGGGAUUAUGUUAUACCUGAUAUGAUUUUUGGCAUCUCAAUUAAUAUAACAUAGAGAUGCCACAUUUAAGUAUGCAACUAUAAUUUGAUGUCUUGAUAUUCUUGAAAAAUUUAACAUGUUUUACUUAUCUUCUC
This 2102-nucleotide long non-coding RNA is filed under the name Vitis vinifera (wine grape). Its description in RNAcentral is "long non-coding RNA (VVIN_LNC001165)". The record is from RNAcentral. Lineage: Eukaryota; Viridiplantae; Streptophyta; Magnoliopsida; Vitales; Vitaceae.